AGAGGCUCAAGAUAAUAGAAGUCGGCGUAAAGAGUGGUUAAGUAUUAAAAAACUAAAGUUAAACAUCUUCCAGGCUGUUAUACGGCACCCGAAGACAUGAAGUCCAUUUACGAAAGUGACUUUACAAAACUGAACCCACGAAAGCUAUGAAACAAACUGGGAUUAGAUACCCCACUAUGCAUAGCCUUAAACUAAAGUAUAGUAAUUACAACAUACUCGCCUGGGUACUACGAGCAUCAGCUUAAAACCCAAAGGACUUGGCGGUGCUUUACACCCACCUAGAGGAGCCUGUUCUAUAACUGAUAACCCCCGUUAAACCUCACCCUAUUUUGCUAAAUCAAUUUAUAUACCGCCGUCGUCAGCUUACCUUGUGAAAGAACAAUAGUGAGCAAAACUAGUUAUAACCCAAAACGUCAGGUCGAGGUGUAGUUUAUGAUAGGGAAAGAAAUGGGCUACAUUCAUUUAUUAAUGAAUACGGAUGGUAUAUUGAAACAUAAACCUAAAGGAGGAUUUAGCAGUAAGAAGAAAAUAGAGUGUUCAUCUGAAAUCGGCUCUAAAGCGCGCACACACCGCCCGUCACUCUCCCCAAUAAUAAAAUUAAAAUUAAUUAAAACCAAAAUAAAAUACAAGGGGAGGCAAGUCGUAACAUGGUAAGUGUACCGGAAGGUGUGCUUGGAAUACCAGAGCAUAGCUGAAGUAGUUAAAGCAUCUCA
This 713-nucleotide ribosomal RNA is filed under the name Hippocampus kuda (spotted seahorse). Its description in RNAcentral is "partial 12S rRNA". It matches the Rfam family "Bacterial small subunit ribosomal RNA", at positions 530 to 1533 of the family's 1533-position model. Lineage: Eukaryota; Metazoa; Chordata; Actinopteri; Syngnathiformes; Syngnathidae. The record is from RNAcentral.